Molecule: non-coding RNA, 72 nt
Organism: Phthorimaea operculella (potato tuberworm)
Lineage: Eukaryota; Metazoa; Arthropoda; Insecta; Lepidoptera; Gelechiidae
Source: the annotation of a GenBank genome assembly
GCGUCGGUAGCUCAGUGGCAGAGCAGUGGAACAGUACUCCUUGUGUCCCAGGUUCGAUCUCUUGUCGACGCU